This 392-nucleotide ribosomal RNA is filed under the name uncultured bacterium. RNAcentral's name for it is "partial 16S ribosomal RNA". It matches the Rfam family "Bacterial small subunit ribosomal RNA", at positions 523 to 918 of the family's 1533-position model. The record is from RNAcentral.
AUACGGAGGAUCCGAGCGUUAUCCGGAUUUAUUGGGUCUAAAGGGUGCGCAGGCGGCCAUUUAAGUCAGCGGUUAAAUCGUGGGGCUCAACCCCAUUCUGCCGUUGAUACUGGGUGGAUUGAUUGCGGUCGAGGUUGGCGGAAUUCGUUGUGUAGCGGUGAAAUGCAUAGAUAUGACGAAGAACACCGCUUGCGUAGGCAGCUGACCAGACCGCAAAUGACGCUCAUGCACGAAAGUGCGGGGAUCGAGCAGGAUUAGAUACCCUGGUAGUCCGCACAGUAAACGAUGAAUACUUGUUUUCGGCGAUAGAAUGUCGGAGGCAAAGCGAAAGCGAUAAGUAUUCCACCUGGGGAGUACGCCGGCAACGGUGAAACUCAAAUGAAUUGACGGGG